GGUGGCCCGGUGGCUAGAGCCACUGCCCCUUUGCCCUCAUCGGCUGAGGUGCCCCUCCUACCAAUCCCCCCAUUAACCCCAGCUCAGAGCGGUCUGUUCCCGCUCCACUAAAGAUCUGCUGAUUCUGCUAAUCCACUCUGUGUUUUCCCCCCACUUCGCCGCAUCACUCACAAUUUGUGUGCCCCUCUCUGGAGUGGAGACCACAGUCCCCAAAGCUCGUUGCUUUAACAGACCUCUAAGCUCCCAUCUGCCCUUGCGGGAUGUGAAUCCUUAUGAAUGCAGGCAGCUUGCCCACUUUUGUUGUUCUAUCAACAUGAUGGCCACUCUCAGUCUGCUUCAGUCAUUUGAUGCCACAGCACUCUCAGUCCAUCAGUGGUGACUCAGUCGGUGGCCCAGUGUACAGAUGAGAACACAGUGUACCAUUAACAACCUCCAGAGUCAUUGAACAUGCAGCGUUCUGGUCUGCUGCCUCGGCUUUUAACACAAUAAAUCAGACUGCUGCCUUCACUGACUCCCUGAAGAUCAGCCGAAUGCUCCUCGUCCCUGUGUUGCUCUUCAUGUCAGGGAAUUCCUUAGAGAACAUCAGAAUAUGCUGUCAUUUUUCAUCUGCUGUCGCACUGACAGAACUGAACGACCCCAUGAAAUCAGAACAGAAGUGUUGUGGUUUCUAGUCACAUUCUGGAAAACAGAUCAAAACAAUGAUGCCUCAUCUUGUUUGCAUAACUUUGGUCAGUGGCGUGCUCAGGGGAGGCCCUUUUAAUCGCCGAUGCCUGUUACCGACUAGCUAGUAGCAAUUCCUGUUUUUAUUAUUUUAAAAAAGUCUACAUAGCAAGUAAAUUGUACUUCUGAAACUAUUGUUAGGAUUUUAUUAGUGAAUUUACUGUGUACUGUAGGUACGUUUUUUUUUUUAAGUUUUUGUUGUUGUUGUUGUUUUUCCAAUGAGCCUAUGUUGAUUUUCAAAAGGGACCUCAACAAUGUGAACUGUGCUCAUAUUAGCCAAGAUUUCCAGGAUAUCAAUUGAUCAAUUGAUCUGAGGUAUGCUGUCCACUUUACUUUUAUAGCUCUACGCUUAUGUCUUAAAUACUUUUGUAUUUGUCUUUUCAUAAGUGUCAUGAUGUAUGAAAGAUGAAACCAACAAUAAAGGAAACAAAGUGCUUGAACACACA
Molecule: long non-coding RNA, 1166 nt
Organism: Cyprinus carpio carpio
Lineage: Eukaryota; Metazoa; Chordata; Actinopteri; Cypriniformes; Cyprinidae
Source: Ensembl